RNAcentral lists this unclassified non-coding RNA (315 nucleotides) under plant metagenome. Its description in RNAcentral is "partial contains 5.8S ribosomal RNA, internal transcribed spacer 2, and large subunit ribosomal RNA". The stretch from base 1 to 105 matches the Rfam family "5.8S ribosomal RNA", at positions 50 to 154 of the family's 154-position model. The record is from RNAcentral.
GAACUGCGAUAAGUAAUGUGAAUUGCAGAAUUCAGUGAAUCAUCGAGUCUUUGAACGCACAUUGCGCCCCCUGGCAUUCCGGGGGGCAUGCCUGUCCGAGCGUCAUUGCUGCCCUUCAAGCCCGGCUUGUGUGUUGGGUCGUCGUCCCCUCCGGGGGACGGGCCCGAAAGGCAGCGGCGGCACCGCGUCCGGUCCUCGAGCGUAUGGGGCUUUGUCACCCGCUCGAUAAGGACCGGCCGGGAGCCAGCCGGCGUCUCCAACCUUUUUUUCUCAGGUUGACCUCGGAUCAGGUAGGGAUACCCGCUGAACUUAAGC